RNAcentral lists this ribosomal RNA (479 nucleotides) under uncultured bacterium. Its description in RNAcentral is "bacterial SSU rRNA". It matches the Rfam family "Bacterial small subunit ribosomal RNA", at positions 29 to 521 of the family's 1533-position model. The record is from RNAcentral.
AGUGAACGCUGGCGGCAGGCCUAAUACAUGCAAGUCGAACGGCAGCACAGCAGAGCUUGCUCUGUGGGUGGCGAGUGGCGGACGGGUGAGGAAUACAUGGGAAUCUGCCCAGUCGUGGGGGAUAACGUAUGGAAACGUACGCUAAUACCGCAUGCGCCCUACGGGGGAAAGCCGGGGACCGCAAGGCCUGGCGCGAUUGGAUGAGCCCAUGUUCGAUUAGCUAGUUGGCGGGGUAAAGGCCCACCAAGGCGACGAUCGAUAGCUGGUCUGAGAGGAUGAUCAGCCACACUGGAACUGAGACACGGUCCAGACUCCUACGGGAGGCAGCAGUAGGGAAUAUUGGACAAUGGGGGCAACCCUGAUCCAGCCAUGCCGCGUGAGUGAAGAAGGCCUUAGGGUUGUAAAGCUCUUUUACCAGGGAUGAUAAUGACAGUACCUGGAGAAUAAGCUCCGGCUAACUCCGUGCCAGCAGCCGCGGU